AGCACUGAGUAGUGGCAGUAUCAUAGCUUAUGAGGUUAAUCUGAGGCAUGAUUAUUGCUAGUUGAAAACUUUUCCCACUGACUUUAGUUUGGAUACUUUGCCACCGUGCUUUUAUUUGCAAAAUUACAGCAACUUUUAAAAAGAA
This 145-nucleotide small nuclear RNA is filed under the name Chelydra serpentina (North American snapping turtle). RNAcentral describes it as "U4 spliceosomal RNA (ENSCSRG00000009215.1)". It matches the Rfam family "U4 spliceosomal RNA". Rfam says of the family: U4 small nuclear RNA (U4 snRNA) is a component of the major U2-dependent spliceosome. The structure of U4 snRNA from yeast and human has been reported. Lineage: Eukaryota; Metazoa; Chordata; Testudines; Chelydridae. The record is from Rfam by way of RNAcentral.